RNAcentral lists this ribosomal RNA (466 nucleotides) under uncultured bacterium. Its description in RNAcentral is "partial 16S ribosomal RNA". It matches the Rfam family "Bacterial small subunit ribosomal RNA", at positions 30 to 507 of the family's 1533-position model. The record is from RNAcentral.
CGAACGCUGGCGGCGUGCUUAACACAUGCAAGUCGAACGGAAAGGCCCUGCUUUUGUGGGGUGCUCGAGUGGCGAACGGGUGAGUAACACGUGAGUAACCUGCCCUUGACUUUGGGAUAACUUCAGGAAACUGGGGCUAAUACCGGCUAGGAGCUCCUGCUGCAUGGUGGGGGUUGGAAAGUUUCGGCGGUUGGGGAUUGACUCGCGGCUUAUCAGCUUGUUGGUGGGGUAGUGGCUUACCAAGGCUUUGACGGGUAGCCGGCCUGAGAGGGUGACCGGCCACAUUGGGACUGAGAUACGGCCCAGACUCCUACGGGAGGCAGCAGUGGGGAAUAUUGCACAAUGGGCGGAAGCCUGAUGCAGCAACGCCGCGUGCGGGAUGACGGCCUUCGGGUUGUAAACCGCUUUCGCCUGUGACGAAGCGUGAGUGACAGUAAUGGGUAAAGAAGCACCGGCUAACUACGUG